AUUGCUUCUCAGACUUAUGGCUAAGAUCAAGUGUAGUAUCUGUUCUUAUCAGUUUAAUAAAACAGUCAAAGAAUAUUCGAUUGGCUUCUGUGAUUGAGUGAACAAACAAGAGUUGGACUGGCUGUAGUUAUCACAGUCAGGUGCCAUUUAUUACUAUCAUUUAUGCCAAACAGAAACUCAU
This is a small nuclear RNA of 181 nucleotides. Its record names the gene U2. It matches the Rfam family "U2 spliceosomal RNA". Rfam says of the family: U2 is a small nuclear RNA (snRNA) component of the spliceosome (involved in pre-mRNA splicing). Complementary binding between U2 snRNA (in an area lying towards the 5' end but 3' to hairpin I) and the branchpoint sequence (BPS) of the intron results the bulging out of an unpaired adenosine, on the BPS, which initiates a nucleophilic attack at the intronic 5' splice site, thus starting the first of two transesterification reactions that mediate splicing. The record is from Ensembl.